Molecule: ribosomal RNA, 271 nt
Filed under: uncultured bacterium
Lineage: Bacteria
Description: partial 16S ribosomal RNA
Rfam family: Bacterial small subunit ribosomal RNA
Source: RNAcentral
UACGGAGGGUGCAAGCGUUAUCCGGAAUCAUUGGGUUUAAAGGGUCCGCAGGCGGUCUUAUAAGUCAGUGGUGAAAUCUCUCAGCUUAACUGAGAAACUGCCAUUGAUACUGUAGGACUUGAAUUUGGUCGAAGUGGGCGGAAUAUGACAUGUAGCGGUGAAAUGCAUAGAUAUGUCAUAGAACACCGAUAGCGAAGGCAGCUCACUAGGCCAACAUUGACGCUCAUGGACGAAAGCGUGGGGAGCAAACAGGAUUAGAAACCCGGGUAGU